RNAcentral lists this ribosomal RNA (1224 nucleotides) under Acinetobacter baumannii. Its description in RNAcentral is "partial 23S ribosomal RNA". It matches the Rfam family "Bacterial large subunit ribosomal RNA", at positions 1639 to 2839 of the family's 2925-position model. The record is from RNAcentral. Lineage: Bacteria; Pseudomonadati; Pseudomonadota; Gammaproteobacteria; Moraxellales; Moraxellaceae. RNAcentral also lists the same sequence under 9 other names.
AAAUCGUACCCCAAACCGACACAGGUGGUCAGGUAGAGAAUACCAAGGCGCUUGAGAGAACUCGGGUGAAGGAACUAGGCAAAAUGGUGCCGUAACUUCGGGAGAAGGCACGCUGGUGUGUAGGUGAAGUCCCUGCGGAUGGAGCUGAGACCAGUCGAAGAUACCAGCUGGCUGCAACUGUUUAUUAAAAACACAGCACUGUGCAAACACGAAAGUGGACGUAUACGGUGUGACGCCUGCCCGGUGCCGGAAGGUUAAUUGAUGGGGUUAUCCGUAAGGAGAAGCUCUUGAUCGAAGCCCCGGUAAACGGCGGCCGUAACUAUAACGGUCCUAAGGUAGCGAAAUUCCUUGUCGGGUAAGUUCCGACCUGCACGAAUGGCGUAAUGAUGGCCAGGCUGUCUCCACCCGAGACUCAGUGAAAUUGAACUCGCUGUGAAGAUGCAGUGUACCCGCGGCAAGACGGAAAGACCCCGUGAACCUUUACUAUAGCUUGACACUGAACAUUGAGCCUUGAUGUGUAGGAUAGGUGGGAGGCUUUGAAGCGUGGACGCCAGUCUGCGUGGAGCCAACCUUGAAAUACCACCCUUUAAUGUUUGAUGUUCUAACGUUGGCCCCUUACCGGGGUUGCGGACAGUGUCUGGUGGGUAGUUUGACUGGGGCGGUCUCCUCCCAAAGCGUAACGGAGGAGCACGAAGGUUAGCUAAUCCUGGUCGGACAUCAGGAGGUUAGUGCAAUGGCAUAAGCUAGCUUGACUGCGAGCGUGACGGCGCGAGCAGGUGCGAAAGCAGGUCAUAGUGAUCCGGUGGUUCUGAAUGGAAGGGCCAUCGCUCAACGGAUAAAAGGUACUCCGGGGAUAACAGGCUGAUACCGCCCAAGAGUUCAUAUCGACGGCGGUGUUUGGCACCUCGAUGUCGGCUCAUCACAUCCUGGGGCUGAAGUAGGUCCCAAGGGUAUGGCUGUUCGCCAUUUAAAGUGGUACGCGAGCUGGGUUUAGAACGUCGUGAGACAGUUCGGUCCCUAUCUGCCGUGGGCGCUGGAGAAUUGAGGGGGGCUGCUCCUAGUACGAGAGGACCGGAGUGGACGCAUCACUGGUGUUCGGGUUGUCAUGCCAAUGGCACUGCCCGGUAGCUAAAUGCGGAAGAGAUAAGUGCUGAAAGCAUCUAAGCACGAAACUUGCCCCGAGAUGAGUUCUCCCUGAGACUUUAAGUCUCCUGAAGGAACGUU